UUGCUUUAACUCUCUGUCUCCGUUUUUCCAGGAACCCAAAACCACCCGAAGCUGAAUCAGAUGAGCGAAGGCCUCUCUUGACCUUGCUGGAGGUCACACUCCUUUGCACUCGACAGGCAGUUAAACACAGUUCCCUGAUUCCAGGCACGGAACUCACAGCAAGAGAACAAGUCAUCUGUGUCACCAGAACACUGAUUAACAGAAAACGUUAAUGCUCAGAGAAGGAAAUGAUACACUGAACUACUUCAGGAAUAAAUCAUUAUUUCUGUUCUUCAAAAUCAGUUAUAAAACCAGUCUGGCUCAACAAAGUGUUCGCCACGGAGCGGCCCAUAGUGGAGUUCGCCCUGCUGGGCAGCGGCCCAUGACAUCUGUAAACUGCUGAACUGAGCUGCCCAGGUCCCUUUUGGAUCUACCACCACCACCCCGCC
Molecule: long non-coding RNA, 428 nt
Organism: Carassius auratus (goldfish)
Lineage: Eukaryota; Metazoa; Chordata; Actinopteri; Cypriniformes; Cyprinidae
Exons: 3
Source: RefSeq, a predicted model, not a curated record